Molecule: long non-coding RNA, 920 nt
Organism: Phyllopteryx taeniolatus (common seadragon)
Lineage: Eukaryota; Metazoa; Chordata; Actinopteri; Syngnathiformes; Syngnathidae
Exons: 3
Source: RefSeq, a predicted model, not a curated record
CUUCACCACCUGUGCCUCGUUCACCCGAAUUACCCCUUGUAUUUAACCUCGUGUCUCAUUCCUUCUCGUUGCCAGUUCGUUGUACCUUGUCGUCGUUUUCCAGCAUUCCUUGUUUCCACGUCACAGACUCACAUUGUUCAGCAGUAUGGGCAAGCCAUGUGUGCAACUCAUCCAGUGUGUUUUGGAACUGCCCCAGACCCAGUAGAGCACACUCCAGUUGAUGCUGCAAAUAGAAAAGAAAGACUUGGACUGCAUGAUAAUGACUGGAAUACUGGAAAAUUCUCUGACUCCAGACUGUCCCAACGCAGUCGAAAGUCGCACAGCGGUGAAACUGAGCAUGGACGCUCUGAGCCUGGAGACAAUCGACACACAAAGCGAUGGUUUUGGCUUUCUAUUUCAAUCUUCUUCUGAUAAAGUUCUCUCUUGAAUUCCUGAGGAAAACAAAUGCAGAGUUAAUGAACUGGUGAUAUAUUGUACAUUAAUUUAAAAAUAGCAUAAUCAAAAUUAUUUUCUCAAACAGAACAUAUGGAGGAACUCAUAUAGUAGCCAUAGUGGUCAUCUCAGAAUGAAUCCUCACCUUGAGUUCAUGUAGCUGCUCUUCGACUGAUUCCAGAUCAGUUCCAACCAUGAACUCUUCAGUUGACCUCAGCUCUGCAGAUUUCAACCACUCAAAAAGUCCCUAAGAUACAAAAGGUUAGGCUGUCUAAAUUACGCAAUAAAAAAGAUGCAUGAAUUAUGAACAUACAAUGUUUAGAACUUGCUCCUUUAUUCAAUACAAAAGAUUCACAUUCCAAUACACACCUGCAUAGUGUCUUGAUAAUCUAAGGCCAUUUGCAAGGACUCCUCCAGCUUUGUGUGGCAUUCAUUCCACAGUUUACUCAAAUUGUUCCACAGGCAAUAAAGCUUAAAAAUAUCAAACA